UCCAGACUCCUACGGGAGGCAGCAGUGGGGGAUAUUGCACAAUGGGGGGAACCCUGAUGCAGCGACGCCGCGUGGGUGAAGGAGCGUUUCGGCGCGUAAAGCCCUAUCGGCAGGGAAGAAGGAGGACGGUACCUGACUAAGAAGCCCCGGCUAACUACGUGCCAGCAGCCGCGGUAAUACGUAGGGGGCAAGCGUUAUCCGGAUUUACUGGGUGUAAAGGGGGCGCAGACGGCGAUGCAAGCCAGGAGUGAAAGCCCGGGGCCCAACCCCGGGACUGCUCUUGGAACUGCGUGGCUGGAGUGCAGGAGGGGCAGGCGGAAUUCCUGGUGUAGCGGUGAAAUGCGUAGAUAUCAGGAGGAACACCGGUGGCGAAGGCGGCCUGCUGGACUGCAACUGACGUUGAGGCCCGAAAGCGUGAGGAGCAAACAGGAUUAGAUACCCCAGUAGA
RNAcentral lists this ribosomal RNA (448 nucleotides) under uncultured bacterium. RNAcentral describes it as "partial 16S ribosomal RNA". It matches the Rfam family "Bacterial small subunit ribosomal RNA", at positions 330 to 794 of the family's 1533-position model. The record is from RNAcentral.